Molecule: ribosomal RNA, 253 nt
Filed under: uncultured bacterium
Lineage: Bacteria
Description: partial 16S ribosomal RNA
Rfam family: Bacterial small subunit ribosomal RNA
Source: RNAcentral
UACGAAGGGUGCAAGCGUUACUCGGAAUUACUGGGCGUAAAGCGUGCGUAGGCGGUUUGUUAAGUCCGUUGUGAAAGCCCUGGGCUCAACCUGGGAAUUGCAGUGGAUACUGGCGAGCUAGAGUGCGGUAGAGGAUGGUGGAAUUCCCGGUGUAGCGGUGAAAUGCGUAGAUAUCUGGAGGAACACCGGUGGCGAAGGCGGCAUCCUGGACCGGUAUUGACGCUGAGGCGCGAAAGCUAGGGGAGCAAACGGG